UCGUUUUAUUAUUUCUGAGUGCAAAUCACUCUCUCUCAUUCCCGAUUCCCUUUCUCCUCUUAGUUCUCUCUUAACCUUGAACCUAACGUCCUCUCCUCUCUCUCUCUCCAUCUCACAGCCAGCAGCCACGGAGCACGACAGUCCUAGCGACGUCGUGGGUUGCCUCUAGCCACCAAAUGCAACCUCCCUCAUCCCAUAGAGAUCUGGGUUUCAAAUUUCAGAACUCUUAAUUUUUUUCUCAGCAGCCAAACACGGCGUCAAGAUGGGGAUUAUUAGCAUGAUUUUAUUGUACGUGCGUGUUUUCAGUUUGAUGUCCAUGCUUUUCUGAUGUGCAUGUUUUCAUCUUCAGGUUUGUGGUGUUCGAUUUGUGUUGAUCGACUGCAUCUUUAGUUUCAUGGGGGUCCAGAUCUGACUGGUUUUGACAACCUCAGAGAUAUGAUUGAGGCCGAGGCUCUGACUGGUUUUGACAACCGCAGCAAAUGAAAGGAGUUUUGUUCUGCAUUUGCUGCUUUUAUGGGUAAGCAAACCAGGAGCUACCCUGUGAGGGAGAGAAAUGAAGUCAUUGUUCGGAAUCUGAAUUUCCAAGUGAGAAGGAAAGCAAGGAGCAAAAAUGGCAAAGAAUGUGGGAAUUCUUGCCGUGGCGAUCUACUUCCCUCCCACCUGUAUUCAAAAGGGAGUUUAACUUAUAUUCAGAACAAGAGAAUUAGAGGAGCAGCAAGCUAAAAGAGGUGGUCAGUGAUGUUGUCAGCCAAUAUUUAUUAGUGGAGGAGACUGUUAGUUUGUUUUUACUUUGUGAAAUUUCACUAAUACGAGUCUAAUUAUUUAUGCUUCAAUUUCCGUUAUUGCAACUAUGUGACUAGCCGGAUCUGGAAUGAGACUUGGUUGGCAAGCUUCUUCCACAAACCAUGUAAUUAUGAGUUGUUUGUGAAGCAAUCUCUAAAUAUGGAAAUGGCGAUUGUCAUGGCAAGGUUUAGGUUACUGAAUUUUUAUCUGUUGUAUGACAUGCUUAUUAUAUUUUCUUAAUGUAAUAAGAGGCUAUUCUUCAAGUGUUAUUCAUUUACUU
This is a long non-coding RNA of Juglans regia (Persian walnut), 1063 nucleotides long. RefSeq lists it as uncharacterized. The transcript is spliced from 4 exons. NCBI's taxonomy places the organism in Eukaryota, Viridiplantae, Streptophyta, Magnoliopsida, Fagales, Juglandaceae. The record is from RefSeq and is a predicted model, not a curated record.